AAAUUGAAGAGUUUGAUCAUGGCUCAGAUUGAACGCUGGCGGCAGGCCUAACACAUGCAAGUCGAACGGUAACAGGAAGCAGCUUGCUGCUUUGCUGACGAGUGGCGGACGGGUGAGUAAUGUCUGGGAAACUGCCUGAUGGAGGGGGAUAACUACUGGAAACGGUGGCUAAUACCGCAUAACGUCGCAAGACCAAAGAGGGGGACCUUCGGGCCUCUUGCCAUAAGAUGUGCCCAGAUGGGAUUAGCUUGUUGGUGAGGUAACGGCUCACCAAGGCGACGAUCC
Molecule: ribosomal RNA, 285 nt
Filed under: Salmonella enterica subsp. enterica serovar Anatum
Lineage: Bacteria; Pseudomonadati; Pseudomonadota; Gammaproteobacteria; Enterobacterales; Enterobacteriaceae
Description: partial 16S ribosomal RNA
Rfam family: Bacterial small subunit ribosomal RNA
Source: RNAcentral